AACUUCCAUUCUUGAUUCCAGCGUGUCACACACACAAUUGAAUUCUUAACAGCUGCCAUUCAAAAGAACUGCGGAGGACCAUUUGAAAGUAAUAUUUUGCUCUGUGUGACAUCUCAUUUUUUUCCCCUCAGAAAUCAUAAUUUUUUUACACACCUCGUAGUCUUCCUAACAGGAAACCAGCUCAGCCUGUCAUUUUGAUUGGGGAGGAACCUUGUUUUCCAGGUCACUGGCUUGAAUCCUGGAGACAAGAUAUUCAUGAGGGACCUGUAUGGGGAAUUUACAUCUCGGAGCAGAGUUUUCCUCUCCAUUUGCCAGCAUGCCAGGGAAGUUCUGCCUCUUACUGAAGAAAUCUAAGGGACUCUUUUCCUCACCUGAAGAAAGUCAAGGCACAAUUACCAAACAGGGGAAAAACUUCAUCAGGAUGCAGAGGUGUCAAAGCACAGGAACUUAUUCAAGGU
Molecule: long non-coding RNA, 458 nt
Filed under: Ictidomys tridecemlineatus (thirteen-lined ground squirrel)
Lineage: Eukaryota; Metazoa; Chordata; Mammalia; Rodentia; Sciuridae
Description: lncRNA (ENSSTOG00000029723.1)
Source: RNAcentral